Molecule: ribosomal RNA, 253 nt
Filed under: uncultured bacterium
Lineage: Bacteria
Description: partial 16S ribosomal RNA
Rfam family: Bacterial small subunit ribosomal RNA
Source: RNAcentral
UACGUAGGGGGCAAGCGUUGUCCGGAAUCAUUGGGCGUAAAGAGCGUGUAGGCGGUCCGGUAAGUCGGCUGUGAAAGUCCAGGGCUCAACCCUGGGAUGCCGGUCGAUACUGCCGGACUAGAGUUCGGAAGAGGAGAGUGGAAUUCCUGGUGUAGCGGUGAAAUGCGUAGAUAUCGGGAGGAACACCUGUGGCGAAGGCGGCCCCCUGGUUGGAUACUGACGCUGAGACGCGAAAGCGUGGGGAGCGAACAGG